UGGGGAAUUUUGGACAAUGGGCGCAAGCCUGAUCCAGCCAUGCCGCGUGCAGGAAGAAGGCCUUCGGGUUGUAAACUGCUUUUGUCAGGGAAGAAAUCCUUUGGGUUAAUACCUCGAAGGGAUGACGGUACCUGAAGAAUAAGCACCGGCUAACUACGUGCCAGCAGCCGCGGUAAUACGUAGGGUGCGAGCGUUAAUCGGAAUUACUGGGCGUAAAGCGUGCGCAGGCGGCUUUGCAAGACAGAUGUGAAAUCCCCGGGCUCAACCUGGGAACUGCAUUUGUGACUGCAAGGCUAGAGUGCGGCAGAGGGAGAUGGAAUUCCGCGUGUAGCAGUGAAAUGCGUAGAUAUGCGGAGGAACACCGAUGGCGAAGGCAAUCUCCUGGGCCUGCACUGACGCUCAUGCACG
RNAcentral lists this ribosomal RNA (408 nucleotides) under uncultured bacterium. Its description in RNAcentral is "partial 16S ribosomal RNA". It matches the Rfam family "Bacterial small subunit ribosomal RNA", at positions 355 to 755 of the family's 1533-position model. The record is from RNAcentral.